ACUUUCAUAUUUUAAAUUAGAAUUUUGCAUUGAAGCUGCAAAGGUGGUGUAUUAACCUGGGGGUA
This 65-nucleotide transfer RNA is filed under the name Cherax sp. HMG-2016. Its description in RNAcentral is "tRNA-Phe". The record is from RNAcentral. Lineage: Eukaryota; Metazoa; Arthropoda; Malacostraca; Decapoda; Parastacidae.